UAUUCUUUACACACUCUUUGAUUUAGACAAACAGAACUAUUCAAAAGACAAAAAGGAAGUAAGAGUGCAGAUGGAAUUAAGCAAUUGCAGGGGAUCCUGAAUGCAGUUCAAGAAAGAUCUGGAAUUGGGAAGCCUGGCAUCCACAGCCCUUCUAACAUCAGACGCAUCAGGCAAGACGUGAGGACUCUCAUUCUGAGCAGCAGCACAGCAGGAUCAGCACAGUGAACAGCAAUCAGAACUCUCGGCCAUAAAACACAGUCAUUGUGUUUCCCAGAUUUCACUGGAUUCAAUUUUCUGGCAUUUUGGUGAAGACUUUCCUACUGCAGUGUCUUAGGAUCUGAGGCAGGGUGAUGACUGGUCUCCUUCAGCAAGGCCAGUUUCUUUCCUUCUGUUUACCAGAGGCAGCCAUGCAAUCCUUACAUUUCCGGUUUAAACAUUUGA
This is a long non-coding RNA of Meriones unguiculatus (Mongolian gerbil), 441 nucleotides long. RefSeq lists it as uncharacterized. The transcript has 3 exons. Lineage: Eukaryota; Metazoa; Chordata; Mammalia; Rodentia; Muridae. The record is from RefSeq and is a predicted model, not a curated record.